Non-coding RNA from Podarcis lilfordi (Lilford's wall lizard), 652 nucleotides. The record is from the annotation of a GenBank genome assembly. NCBI's taxonomy places the organism in Eukaryota, Metazoa, Chordata, Lepidosauria, Squamata, Lacertidae.
UAUUUGUUGCUGUGGCUCCCUCCUGUUCCUAUGUGUACAUGUAUGUGUUUUGCAGUGACAAUGGUAGUUUCAGGCUGUACAUGAUUGUUCCCAUAAGAGCGAGCUCUGCAGUCUCUUAAAUCCGCCACAUGUGGUUCCUAGUCAUUUGAAUCUUCUUCCCACAGUCAAAUGCAGAAAGCUUAUAUUUGUUUUUCUUCCAUAGUAAUGAACACUGCCUUUCUGGUAUCUUGGAGUGAAUUAGAAUGAGAAACAAAGCAGUUUCACCUCCCAGACCUUAAUCCUCUUAAGUUCUCUCUUGGUUUGCAAAAGUGACCAUGCAUCAAAGAAGCUAAAUAAAUGGCUAUCUAAAGGGCUCCUUUGCUGUUUGGAACUAAUUGACAGCCCACAACAAUGCAAACAUGAGUCAUUGCCUCAUAAGUGAGAUAAAAUGGGAGAUGUCUCUUUUAUGAUGGUACUUGCUAUGCUAUUGCACAUACGUGCAUCAUCUGAAAAUUAGGAGAAUAUACUUACGGCUUCAUAGCCAUUUGAAACGUAUGCAAACGUAACUGGUGGAUAUAAUCAUAUGAUUUAGUCAAUGAGUUGACUAAGAUUUAUUUAAUCUGGUUGUAUCCCUGCAAAUAAACAGUCAUUACAGAUAAAAACAAGAAUCGCU